RNAcentral lists this ribosomal RNA (464 nucleotides) under uncultured bacterium. Its description in RNAcentral is "partial 16S ribosomal RNA". It matches the Rfam family "Bacterial small subunit ribosomal RNA", at positions 339 to 795 of the family's 1533-position model. The record is from RNAcentral.
CUACGGGGUGCUCCAGUGGGGAAUAUUGCACAAUGGGCGCAAGCCUGAUGCAGUCAUGCCGCGUGUAUGAAGAAGGCCUUCGGGUUGUAAAGUACUUUCAGCGGGGAGGAAGGGAGUAAAGUUAAUACCUUUGCUCAUUGACGUUACCCGCAGAAGAAGCACCGGCUAACUCCGUGCCAGCAGCCGCGGUAAUACGGAGGGUGCAAGCGUUAAUCGGAAUUACUGGGCGUAAAGCGCACGCAGGCGGUUUGUUAAGUCAGAUGUGAAAUCCCCGGGCUCAACCUGGGAACUGCAUCUGAUACUGGCAAGCUUGAGUCUCGUAGAGGGGGGUAGAAUUCCAGGUGUAGCGGUGAAAUGCGUAGAGAUCUGGAGGAAUACCGGUGGCGAAGGCGGCCCCCUGGACGAAGACUGACGCUCAGGUGCGAAAGCGUGGGGAGCAAACAGGAUUAGAUACCCCCGUAGUC